This 75-nucleotide transfer RNA is filed under the name Caldisericia bacterium. Its description in RNAcentral is "tRNA-Glu". It matches the Rfam family "tRNA". From Rfam's summary of the family: Transfer RNA (tRNA) molecules are approximately 80 nucleotides in length. Their secondary structure includes four short double-helical elements and three loops (D, anti-codon, and T loops). Lineage: Bacteria; Pseudomonadati; Caldisericota; Caldisericia. The record is from RNAcentral.
GGCGCCAUCGUAUAGCGGUUAGUACGAGGGGCUCUCAAUCCCUAAGUAGGGGUUCGACUCCCCUUGGCGCUACCA